Molecule: ribosomal RNA, 113 nt
Filed under: uncultured eukaryote
Lineage: Eukaryota
Description: partial 16S ribosomal RNA
Rfam family: Bacterial small subunit ribosomal RNA
Source: RNAcentral
UGGGGAAUCUUCCGCAAUGGGCGAAAGCCUGACGGAGCAAUGCCGCGUGGAGGCAGAAGGCCCACGGGUCGUAAACUCCUUUUCUCGGAGAAGAAGCAGUGACGGUAUCCGAG